Molecule: long non-coding RNA, 706 nt
Filed under: Homo sapiens (human)
Lineage: Eukaryota; Metazoa; Chordata; Mammalia; Primates; Hominidae
Description: non-protein coding lnc-HMGB2-15:8
Source: RNAcentral
CGCUGGUCGAAUGUUCCCAGAAACUUCCCUGCAUUAGCUCUACCGGGCGCGGGGAGCAGAAAGCGCAUUUCCUGAGUCCUGAAAAGCGCGUGCGCGCCUGUGUGCUGCCGGCGUUUGGGCGCGCCUGCUUGUAGUUUGCUCUGUCGCCCAGGAUGGAGUGCAGUGCAGUGGCGCGAUCCUGCAACCUCCGCCUCUCGAGUUCAAGCGAUUCUCCUGCCUCAGCCUCCCGAGUAGCUGGGAUUACAGACGCGCGCCACCCCACCCAGAUGAUCUUUUUAAAUGCAAAAUGCCAUCGACGCAGAAAAUCAAAGAAUCAGCUUAAGUUCCAGAAAAAAGAAAAACCAACCAAAUGAACAAUAAGACAACAACAACAACAACAAAAAAGGCCUUUUGGGAUUUUGGAUGAUAUUGCAUCAAAUCCAUACAUUAACCUGAGAGACGAGCGACUUCUUCAACAUUGAGCCUUCCAAUCAUGAUUUUCAAUUCAUUUAGGUCUUCUGUAAUGUUUCUUAAUAUAAUUGUAUUUGUUGCUAUGCAGAAGUUUCACUGAUCUUUUAUUAUAUCUCUAUAUAUAUUUGAUAUUUCUGACACUAUUGUAAAUAGUAUCUUUUUAAUAUUUCAUUUUCCUUUUUUGUUGCUUAAAUAUAUAUAAAAUAAGCUAAUUUUCCAAACUAAUUUUUAUAUCCAGCAACCCUGCUAAAAUUUC